AACCCUACAACGCAGGCAGCCAGGCACAUAGCAGUUAGCAUACCACCACCAUGCAGGCACGCAGCAGACCAGCAGUCUCUCACUCUCAGAAUUGUCUCUCCCUCUCAGCCUCUCAUCUCAUCUCAAACUCUCAGGCUCUCACUCUCAGCUCCUUCUAUCGUCUCUUAGCCUCUCAAUCUUAUCUCAAUCUCAGUCCUAGAGCUCCUUUGUACCGUAGUCCGCAGUCACAGUCUCGUUUCCUGACUUAGUCUCAAUCUCAGUCUCGAGCUCAUCUCCACUGCAAUCACAAUCUCGCUACUCGCCUCUCAGUCUCGAGCUCGUCUCUGCCAUAAUCAGUCACAGUCUUGAAAUCUUCUCUGCCAUAGUCCUCAAUCACAAUCUCACCUCUCGCCUCUCAGUCUCAGUCUCAAAGUCUUGAGCUCGUUGGUGCCUCACAAUCUUAGUCUCAAGCUCGUUCUGCCGUGGUCUCCUCUCCCUCUCGCCUCUCAGUUUCAGUCUCACAGUCUCAAUGUCAACUCAGCCUCAUAGUUACAGUCUCGCCGUGGUCUCCUCCUCCUCUCGCCUUUCAGGUUUGCCUCCUUUAUCUUGAUCUACUUCUAGUUAUUUAGUGUUGGUUGCUGCUCUGAUUGUCUUUCGAUUUGGUAUUGUUGAUUUCUGGUUUUUGAUUAUUUAUGGUCUCAAUUCUAAUUGUUGAUUCUUGGUUUUUGAUCCUCUGCCUCCUCUAUCUUGAUAUGCUUUGAAUGUUGUUAGUUUAUUUUUAAUUUUGAUUAUAUGAUUUUAUUUCUGAUCCUGAUAAAUUAGGCCUUGUAAUACUAUUCUGUUAUUUUAUUUUUAGUUUUGAUUGUAUGAUUUAUGCUUGUUUGUAGUAUGUCAUCAUCUAGUGCCAAAAGUAAUGAAACUAGUAAGAAGUUAGUUGAGGAGGAAAGUAAUAAAGAAUCAACUCCCACCUAAUUUACUACAUUCAACAAGAAACCACCUAAGAAAGCUAAAAGUUAUACUUCAGAUGUUUGGAAGUCCUUUUCUAAAGUGGUUAAUGAAGAGGGAGCAACAAAAGCAAAGUGUAAUGGUUGUGGCACUUUGCUAGCUAGUAGUGGAAAUCAUGGCACUUCACAUCUAAAUCGACAUGUUAAACAGUGUGUAGCUCUUCCAAAGUUUCAUAAUAUAGGCUUAAUGAUGUUAGAUAAUGAAGGCAAUGUUAGGCCUAGACAAAUUAAUAAUCCACGUAUUCGGGAGUUGUUGGGAUGUUGAUUGUUGAACAUGAUUUGCCAUAUUCCUUUAUUGAAUUUCCUCUUUUAAGACAGCUGCUUAAGGAAUGUAAUCCUGAUGUUAAGAUUAUGAGUAGGAAAACUGCUGUGUCAGAUGUUAGGAGAUUUUAUGAGCUCCAAAAAGAGAAGUUGAAAGUGAUUUUAUCAAAGAGUCCUAGCAAAAUUUGUUUGACCUCUAAUUGUUGGACUGUUGUAACAUUCGAAGGUUAUAUUUGCUUGACAGCACAUUUUGUGGAUGAAAAUUAGAAACUUAAUAGUAGAAUACUUUUUUUUUGUAAGAUGGAACCUCCACAUUCUAGACAUAAAUUAGCUAGCAAAGUUUUUGAUAGCUUGUGUGAGUGGGGGAUUGAAAAGAAAGUUUUUACAAUUACUUUAGACAAUGUAUUUGUAAAUAAUUGUAUGGCUGAAAUCUUGAAAGAAAUGUUGGUUUUGCAAAAUAACUUGAUUUGUGAUGGGAAAUUUUUUCAUGUGAGGUGUUGUGCACAUAUCUUGAACUUGAUAGUUCAAGAAGGUUUAAAGGUAACAAAUGUUGCGAUAAAUAAAAUUCGAGAAAGCAUUAAAUAUGUUAAGAUGUUAGAGUCCAAGAUGAAGACUUUCAGGCAAUGCAUUCAGCAAGUUGGUGGCAUUGACACCUCAAUAGGAUUGUGAUUAGAUGUGCCUACCAGAUGGAAUUCCACCUAUGAUAUGCUUGAUAGUGGAAUUAGAUAUAAAAGAGCUUUUGUUUGCAUGUCUUGUCGUGACACUAGUUUUAAACACUGCCUGUCGAAUGAAGAAUGGAGGAGAGCAGAGGAAAUGAGCACUUUCUUACAGCCAUUUGCAAUCAUUACAACUUUGAUUUCUAGCACAUCCUAUCCUACCUCAAAUAUGUAUAUUGGGCAAAUAUCAAAAAUUGAUAUUUUGUUAAAUGAAGCCAUUGGCAAUCGUGAUCUUGUGAUUUCUAGUAUGGCAAUUAAAAUGAAGGAGAAAUUUGACAAGUAUUGGAGUGACUAUAGUGUAAUCCUUUCUAUUGAAAGUGUUUUUGAUCCACGAGCAAAGCUUGAAGUGAUUAAGUAUUUUUAUUCACUGAUUGAUCCUGUAAAUUACUUCAUGAAAGUUAAUAAUAUCAAGCAGAAGUUGUAUUGUAUGUUUGAUCAAUAUAAAGAAAUGGGUGGAUCUCACUAAGUUCAACUCCAACACAAAGUCAACCAAGCUCAAGCACUAGUGGAAGGAUGUUAGAGAAGAAGAGGGAACCAACCAUGUCUUGGACUCAAGCUUAUGGUGACUUCCUUAAUUUCGAGAGUAGGGAUACUUCUUCCAUUAAAAAAUCUAAAUUAGAUUACUAUUUGGAAAAAGCUUCGCUUGAUAGUCACCAGUUGCCAGAGUUAGAUGUGUUGCAUUGGUGGAAGACUAAUCAACAAUGAUUUCCCAAUCUUUCAAGGAUGGUAUGUGAUGUUCUGAGUAUUCCGAUCACCACAGUAACUAGUGAAUUGGAAUUUAGCAUCGGCUCCCGUGUUCUCACAAAGUAUCGUUGCCACCUCCUUCCGGAUAAUGUGCAAGCAUUGAUUUGUACCCGCAAUUGGUUGAAUGGUUUUGUGCCAUUUUAUAGUAAUUUUUAUAUUUUAUCUUGUGAUAUAUGUAUAGAUAUAUAUUUGAUAAUGACACAAUUUAAUUGUUAAUUAUUAUAGGUGAUGUUGAUGAAGAAGCUAUAGAGAUAGUUGAUAUUGAGCCUCCACCUCCACCUUCCACAAGUGGACCUACAUCUGAGGGUUCCAAUAUUUUAUUUGUGGAUGAUGAUGAGGGGGAUCUUGAUUAGGAUUGAUGAUAAUGUUUGUCUUCAUCUUAUUUGGACUUUUAAAUUUUUUGUUUAUGUUUUAAAUUAUGUGAGACUUUGGUUGGAUGUAUGUUGAAUUUUAAAAUAUUUUAAGUAAAUUUUAAUGUUGAAUUUUAUUUUA
This is a long non-coding RNA of Prosopis cineraria, 3196 nucleotides long. RefSeq lists it as uncharacterized. NCBI's taxonomy places the organism in Eukaryota, Viridiplantae, Streptophyta, Magnoliopsida, Fabales, Fabaceae. The record is from RefSeq and is a predicted model, not a curated record. The transcript is spliced from 2 exons.